RNAcentral lists this unclassified non-coding RNA (361 nucleotides) under soil metagenome. Its description in RNAcentral is "partial contains 5.8S ribosomal RNA, internal transcribed spacer 2, and large subunit ribosomal RNA". The stretch from base 1 to 120 matches the Rfam family "5.8S ribosomal RNA", at positions 35 to 154 of the family's 154-position model. The record is from RNAcentral.
GAUGAAGAACGUAGCGAAAUGCGAUAAGUAAUGUGAAUUGCAGAAUUUAGUGAAUCAUCGAAUCUUUGAACGCAUAUUGCGCCCGCCAGCACUCUGGCGGGCAUGCCUGUUCGAGCGUCAUUUCAACCCUCAGGCCUCGCGUCUGGCGUUGGGGCGCUGCGGCCCUCCCGCAGGCCCCCAAAUCUAGCGGCGGAUUCCCCGCGGCCCUGAGCGCAGUAGAGAGUAAAAACUUUAACGCUCCGGCGGCCGUGGCGCGGUUCUGCCUCUUUCCCAAUAGCGCCAAUAGCGCCACCCCCAAAAAAGUUGACCUCGGAUCAGGUAGGACUACCCGCUGAACUUAAGCAUAUCAAUAAGCGGAGGA